UUGCUUUAGCAGCACAUAUAGAAAAAUUCAAACGACACAGAGAAGAUUAGCAUGGCACCUCUGCAAGCAUGACAUGCAAAUUCAUAAAGCAUUCCAUAUUUUU
Otolemur garnettii (small-eared galago) is the source of this 103-nucleotide small nuclear RNA. NCBI's taxonomy places the organism in Eukaryota, Metazoa, Chordata, Mammalia, Primates, Galagidae. The record is from Ensembl.